This 2787-nucleotide unclassified non-coding RNA is filed under the name Hevea brasiliensis (rubber tree). Lineage: Eukaryota; Viridiplantae; Streptophyta; Magnoliopsida; Malpighiales; Euphorbiaceae. The record is from RNAcentral.
GAGAGAGAGAGAGAGAGAGAGACUGGAAAAAGUAUCCUAAGAGACCAAUGCUUCGUUUUCACUCUAAUUAUAAAAUCCAGAUAAUGAAAUACAGAAACCAGAAUUACUCUGAAGACAUAACUUCGAAAAUUCUGUAUGCAUCUCUCAGGAUAGCAAAGAAAAUUAGUUCCGUCAGAUUAAUGAGCAACAAUAGCUCAUAAGACACUGUUGAAGGCAUCAGCCUUCUUUGGCUACAAAAACAAGGCCAAGAAGGAGAUGCAAGGAAGAGAUGAUGAGGACCAAAAAUCACUGAACAAAAUAAUGCAUUUUCCAAAACCAAAAAAAAAGUUACAUUUGUAUAUCCUGAUAUUUUUAUGUGCAGCCAGUGAGCGACUAAUCACAGAAAUUUUAAAAAGCCAAGUAUUGUAUAAGAAUGAAACCUCCAAGCAAAUCUGUAAAUCAUUCAGGCGAGUCAAAACUGCUCAAGUAGCAUUCUGAGAACUCCUUGAUACAGCAGCUAGGAUCAUGCCAAAGCAAAGAAUUAUUCAACUCCCAAACUGCUCUAUGCAGACCCCUGUAAUAUGAUCCUUCAGGUCAAUCCAAUUCAACAAGACCUGUAACAUGGUUCUUCAACUCUAAUUUGAUCAUUGCAGAGUUGCGGACCAUCUGCCAAAAGAAAUUGGAGAGACCCUCCAAGUUCAACCCAAACUCUAAAAUACUUUCCACAUUGACCAUUGAAGCUUAAGAGUACGAACACCAAGAUGUAUUGACAUUAUUCUGCAACUGGGGACAAGGCAUUGGGAAGACCUCUUUGGCAAAUCCUGAGACAAAUUCACAAUGCCAUAAUGCAGAUGAUGCCAGACCAAUUAGUGUAACAUUCUUCAUGCAUAUCCCAUCAAAUGGUGCAUCCUUGAUUCCCUGCAAAACUGGGGCUUUUGUUGAAUUCAAACUCACCACAUUACUUAUAGAAACACCUUUCACAAUUGGCAUUGCGUUUGGAUCCCAACCUUCAUCAGGGUGAUCAUUGGAGCCUCUGCUGAACCUAAUGGGAAUCUUGACUCUCUCCAUUGUUAUAUUACUUAUAGUAAUAUUUGCUAUAUAUCCUCCUCUGCCUAUAUCAGUUUUUAUUCUCACCCCUGCUGCUGAAUCCCAGACAUGCAAAUCUUCAAUUGUUACAUUAAAGAUCCCUCCAGACAUCUCGCUACCUAUUCCAACACCAGAGCAAGUUGGAGUUGUGCCCGAAACUCUCUUCACUACAAUGUUUGAACUUGGAUGAGCCAUUUUGAUGCCAUACUGAUCCCAUCCGCUCUUCACUGCUACAAGAUCAUCCCCACUCUCAAUGUAACAGUCCUCAAUACAAACAUUGGUGCUCGAGUCUGGGUCUAUACCAUCAGUAUUCGGGGCAUUCAGGGGAGCCAAAAUUGUCAUGUCUUUAACCACAACAUUGCUGAAACAAAUAGGAAGUAAUAUUAAUUCUCCAAAUGUAGUAUUUAAGUUCAAGAAAAAUAUGAACAGGUACAAGUGAACAAGCACACUAAUAAAAAUUGGUUACACGUAUCAUGCUUGAUUUACAACUCCUAUCUUAUGCCCCCAUGUCCCUAGCAAACCUAAGAUAAAUGAAGCCCACAGGAAGAGUACAUUAGAAUCUUGUAUGAAGAAGAACUCAUGAAAACAAACACGGUAGUAUAUGUUUUUGCAGAAAAGGGAUUACAAGGGAAGAGUCUUAUCAUUCUUCUACAUGUUAUCCACUUAGUUUAUUCCAUUAAUCAUUUUAAGUCGACUACACUUUGAAGGAGAACACAAACUACUAAGCUAAAAAGAUGAGAGAGAAACCUGCAGUAAACAGGGUGUAUGGUCCAAAAUGGAGAAUUUCGGAAAGUGAGAUUGGAGAUGAGGAUAUUAUGAGAGUUCAUUAGUUCUACAAGGUGUCCUCUUGUGUGCUCCAAUGUUCUGUUCCACCAUAACUCCCACCACAUCUUCCCCUGACCAUCAAUUGUCCCAUUAUGCCCUGUAAUGACAACAUUGGUAAGGCCAUUUCCAUGAAUAAGGCUAAUAUGUCUUCCUCCUAGUCUCUCCCUCCCUCUUCCAUAAGAAGGCAAAGGCUCUACAAUAGGCCAUUCCUUUGGGUCCUGAGAGCCUAGAAUAACGGCACCCUCUUCAAGAAACAAGGUGAAAUUACUGGUGAGGUUAAUGCUCCCCGUAAGCCACCUCCCCUUAGGGAGAUUCAACUGGGACCCACCUCUAUCUCCGAAACGCUUCAUGUACCGUAUCGCUUUCCGAAACGUGUCAGUAUUUGACGUUUUCCCAUCACCAACACCACCAAAAUCCUCGAUGGACAUGACAACUUCUCUCCUGGGGAACUCUGGGAGGAAGCCGACACAGCUCCCAACAUCCCCGGAAACACCGGGUUCGGACAAUCCCGACAUAAGUCGUAUCGGGUAAAUGGUUCUGGUGGUAAUUUGGAAGGACAAAAGCACUAUAAGGGUGAUCAAAAGAAUAAGCGGGGACCAUGAGAGCCUGGUUACCUUACCCAUCAUCGCACCGCCAAGGUUUUGCUUCUCACAAUCCAUUCUCUGUAACCAUCAUGGAAAUUCAAUCACCCCCACCUCAGAAAAAGAAAAAAAAGAUUGCUUUUCUUCCUAUAUGGUGUUUAUCUUUGACAGUAAUUUACAGGACGAGGAUGGUGGAUAGGUGAAGACGAAGGUUGAGAGAGGUGGUGGCGGUGGUAUCGUUUUCUUCAACGUCUUCUUUUUGUUAGUUUUAUAUAAUAUGGACGGUGGUGCAAAGAAUGAAAGACAGAAGAAGCCG